UAGCCUGAGAACAAACACACUGGAGAA
RNAcentral lists this non-coding RNA (27 nucleotides) under Mus musculus (house mouse). Lineage: Eukaryota; Metazoa; Chordata; Mammalia; Rodentia; Muridae. The record is from RNAcentral.